Molecule: ribosomal RNA, 235 nt
Filed under: uncultured bacterium
Lineage: Bacteria
Description: partial 16S ribosomal RNA
Rfam family: Bacterial small subunit ribosomal RNA
Source: RNAcentral
UGAGGAACAUGACCUUCGGCGGGGGAUAGCCGGCCCAACGGCCGGGUAAUACCGCGUACGACCACAUGGGGACAUCCCCGAGUGGUGAAAGCAGCAAUGCGCCGAUGGAGUGCCUCGCGGCCUAUCAGCUAGUUGGUGAGGUAACGGCUCACCAAGGCAACGGACGGGUAGCUGGUCUGAGAGGAUGGCCAGCCACAGUUGGGACUGAGACACGGCCCAGACCUCCGUAGGGAGG